This 378-nucleotide long non-coding RNA is filed under the name Aotus nancymaae (Ma's night monkey). RNAcentral describes it as "lncRNA (ENSANAG00000038666.1)". Lineage: Eukaryota; Metazoa; Chordata; Mammalia; Primates; Aotidae. The record is from RNAcentral.
GUUUGCUUUAAUGUCUAUUAAAUGUCUACAUUUAGAGUCUGUUAACUAUUUUUUCUUCCUAGUCUUCUAGUAAAAUUGGUGCUCCAAGAAGAUACACACGUUGGCCAUGUGGAUUCUGCUAUCUCCUGCUUGGAUCUCAGCCUGGAUCUUGUUGUAUGCAAGUUUGAGAAGCAUAGAUUAGCUACAGAUUUCUUCAUUAAAACUUUCCCCCAAAGAGGAAUGCAUACGUCUAGCAAAUACCCCACCAAGUUAAAGCUGAGAGAUGGCCAGGAGAAGUCGAAGGGGGCUUUCAAGAAGGAUCUAACGAAGGCUUGUAAGAAGAACCUCCCUACCAAUGAAGUCAACAAGCCUGUCUUCAUUGGAAGCCACCUUUCCUAG